This is a long non-coding RNA of Olea europaea var. sylvestris, 486 nucleotides long. RefSeq lists it as uncharacterized. The record is from RefSeq and is a predicted model, not a curated record. NCBI's taxonomy places the organism in Eukaryota, Viridiplantae, Streptophyta, Magnoliopsida, Lamiales, Oleaceae. The transcript has 2 exons.
AACAAUAUGGGCCAGCCCUUCACGAGAAAAAAUUGCUUAGGAAAUUAGGGUAUUGAACGAAAUAGCAGCUAGAAGAAAUAAUUCCGUUCCCUUACAAUAACACCGCCAGUCUCAUCUGUAGGAUCGGCGCCAACAGGGAGAACCAACAUGAGAGCUAAGUGGAAGAAGAAGCGAAUGAGGAGGUUGAAGAGGAAGCGCCGAAAGAUGAGACAAAGAUCUAAGUAGAGGAGGAUAGUGAGAAGGCUUCUUUUGCAUGAACCAUUUCUUCUUAACUGGCUGCCUAACGACCAAGAAAAGUGGAAGAAAGUUCUGUUGAUGGGGCUGUCUUGUUUGUUCCUACUCUCGUGUUUUGUAGUUUCAUCUUUGUGGAAGUUUAGGUUAACUUGCGAGCUUUUACUGUCUACUUUCAUGUUACCGAACUAAAAGAGCACAUGACAUUUGUAUUAAAUCCGUUUAUGAAUAGAUGCAUGGGCGUUUCGGAUAUCA